UCAGGAUGAACGCUAGCGGCGCGCUUAAUGCAUGCAAGUCGAGCGAUGAGACUCCUACGGGAGCACAUCAGCGGCAGACGGGUGAGUAACACGUAGAUGACGUACCCUCAAGACGGGGAUAACGGAUGGAAACAUGCGCUAAUACCGGAUGACCUUACGAUGUCAGAAUGGUAAGGAAAGCUACGGCGCUUGAGGAGCGGUCUGCGGCCCAUCAGCUAGUUGGUAGGGUAAAGGCCUACCAAGGCGAAGACGGGUAGGGGGUGUGAGAGCGCGGCCCCCCACAAUGGGACUGAGACACGGCCCAUACUCCUACGGGAGGCAGCAGCAGGGAAUAUUGCACAAUGGACGGAAGUCUGAUGCAGCGACGCCGCGUGAGUGAAGAAGGCCUUCGGGUUGUAAAACUCUUUUGAGGGGGAAGAGCGAGGACGGUACCCCUGGAAUAAGCGUCGGCUAACUACGUGCCAGCAGCCGCGGUAAGACGUAGGACGCGAGCGUUAUCCGGAUUUACUGGGCGUAAAGCGUCUGUAGGCGGAUGUGUAAGUUGGGCGUGAAAGCUCCGGGCUUAACCCGGAGAGGCCGUUCAAUACUGCAUAACUUUGAGGGUGUCAGAGGGGAGCGGAAUUCCCGGUGUAGCGGUAAAAUGCGCAGAGAUCGGGAGGAACACCAGUGGCGGAGGCGGUUCCCUGGGGCACAACCUGACGCUGAGAGACGAAAGCUAGGGGAGCGAACAGGAUUAGAGACCCUGGUAGUCCUAGGCCUAAACGAU
RNAcentral lists this ribosomal RNA (766 nucleotides) under uncultured organism. RNAcentral describes it as "bacterial SSU rRNA". It matches the Rfam family "Bacterial small subunit ribosomal RNA", at positions 24 to 810 of the family's 1533-position model. The record is from RNAcentral.